Molecule: ribosomal RNA, 497 nt
Filed under: uncultured bacterium
Lineage: Bacteria
Description: partial 16S ribosomal RNA
Rfam family: Bacterial small subunit ribosomal RNA
Source: RNAcentral
GAUGAACGCUGGCGGCGUGCCUAAUACAUGCAAGUCGAGCGAACAGACGAGGAGCUUGCUCCUCUGACGUUAGCGGCGGACGGGUGAGUAACACGUGGAUAACCUACCUAUAAGACUGGGAUAACUUCGGGAAACCGGAGCUAAUACCGGAUAAUAUAUUGAACCGCAUGGUUCAAUAGUGAAAGACGGUUUUGCUGUCACUUAUAGAUGGAUCCGCGCCGCAUUAGCUAGUUGGUAAGGUAACGGCUUACCAAGGCAACGAUGCGUAGCCGACCUGAGAGGGUGAUCGGCCACACUGGAACUGAGACACGGUCCAGACUACUACGGGAGGCAGCAGUAGGGAAUCUUCCGCAAUGGGAGAAAGCCUGACGGAGCAACGCCGCGUGAGUGAUGAAGGUCUUCGGAUCGUAAAACUCUGUUAUUAGGGAAGAACAAAUGUGUAAGUAACUAUGCACGUCUUGACGGUACCUAAUCAGAAAGCCACGGCUAACUACGUG